Long non-coding RNA from Anguilla rostrata (American eel), 456 nucleotides. RefSeq lists it as uncharacterized. NCBI's taxonomy places the organism in Eukaryota, Metazoa, Chordata, Actinopteri, Anguilliformes, Anguillidae. The record is from RefSeq and is a predicted model, not a curated record. The transcript has 3 exons.
ACCUGUCUGAGGGGCAUGGAGGGAAGGCGGGUUUUAUUUUAAAAUCACAGCCAGCCUAACCGGGUCAUUCACAUUGGCCUCACUGGGACUCUCAUCCCGGAUCCCAUAGUAUACACCCUGAGCAGUGGAAGGGACAGCCCAGAAAAAAAGGAAAGAAUGAUAAGUAUUCAUGAGCAACUGUUGCAGGCAUCUUGCCAAGUUGCCCUACACAGGCAGCGAGACGAAGAGACUUGUGAACAAAGCAGCGGUGACGUCUGCACUAAGACCCAGAAACACGAUACAUUUGAGCGACUGGCAUUGGCAGUUAUCAUCUGGGAUGUAAUGGUGGGUCGCAGAGGCAGCAGCUGCUGUGGAACUGACGCGUUUGACGGACUAUACCCGAAACCACUAUGCCGGUGAGGAGAUAACUCCCUCUUCUCACAACUCUCCCUGCUGCUGUCUCCAAGGUAACAGUCA